GCCCAACUGUUUAGUUUGGAUACAGAAGAUGAGGACUUGAACGGAUUUGCGUAUGACUAUCGAUCAACAAUGAUGUGAGUACAGUAGAGCAGUGGUCCCAAA
Long non-coding RNA from Syngnathus acus (greater pipefish), 102 nucleotides. RefSeq lists it as uncharacterized. The record is from RefSeq and is a predicted model, not a curated record. The transcript has 3 exons. Lineage: Eukaryota; Metazoa; Chordata; Actinopteri; Syngnathiformes; Syngnathidae.